UCCCUGGUGGCUCAGACGGUAAGGCCUCUGCCUGCAAUGCAGGAGACCCGGGUUCGAUUCCUGGGUCGGGAA
Transfer RNA from Ovis aries (sheep), 72 nucleotides. It matches the Rfam family "tRNA". From Rfam's summary of the family: Transfer RNA (tRNA) molecules are approximately 80 nucleotides in length. The record is from Rfam. NCBI's taxonomy places the organism in Eukaryota, Metazoa, Chordata, Mammalia, Artiodactyla, Bovidae.